Bos indicus x Bos taurus (hybrid cattle) is the source of this 750-nucleotide long non-coding RNA. NCBI's taxonomy places the organism in Eukaryota, Metazoa, Chordata, Mammalia, Artiodactyla, Bovidae. The record is from Ensembl.
CUGGGGCCUUAGAUGGGCCGGUGCCCCCUGACGGCCACCCCCGCGCAGCGCUGUCCUGGGCCGGGAGCCCCUGCGCCUUGUCCUGCAAGCGGGGCGCGUGGUCCGCCUGUGCCCCCGCCGAGCCGAGCCACGCUGGGCCCUGAACGUGAAGCGGGCGGUGCUGAGCCUCCUGCAGAGUCAUCCAGGUGUCCGCGACCCCCACACCGUGGAGGAGGUGGACAUCCUGGGCAGGUGUCCCACCACGUACCAGCAACUCGGAAGCAGGCUGCACAAAACCAAGGCCCUGGGGCAGUGCUCCCUGCGCCGGGUGCGCGCCUCCCUGCGCUCGCAGGCCCUGCCCGCUGCGGAGGAGCAGUCUGGCCUGGCCUCCCGUCUGACCUGCGUCCAGAGUUUGCAGGCCGGCGUGCUGCGGGAGGCCUCCUGCACACAGCUGGACACCGCGGGGCCCCUCUCCAGGGAGGCAAGUACUGCACCGAUGUCAACCUUUUCCUCGCUCUCUCUGCUGCAGGAGGUACCCCUGGACCCAGCUGUCACAGAACGUCUCACCUCAGAUUCAGACAGUGGAGACUUAACCCCGAGCAGCUUGUUGUACGAGUGGGAGGAGACCCCAUCCCAAGCCACGGUGGCCGCAGGGGCUGCAUCAGUGAGGAGGCUGUGCCUGGCUCAGGCCACAAGCUUUGAGGUAAGUGGCUUCUCCAGCCCCAGGCCAGGGUCUGCCUGAGGCCCUGGGACACCCUCCUCUUCCUACCA